Molecule: ribosomal RNA, 452 nt
Filed under: Zeugophora vitinea
Lineage: Eukaryota; Metazoa; Arthropoda; Insecta; Coleoptera; Zeugophoridae
Description: partial 28S ribosomal RNA
Source: RNAcentral
CAGGGGGUAUUCUGAGAAACCCGAAAGAUCGAAUGGGGAAAUUCAUUCGCGUCUCGAGCGCGAAGACGACAGGCGGCGAGACGGACGGCGUUCGCGCUCGUUCGCUCCCGCAGGCCGUCGACGUCGCGUUCGAACGCGUGCACUUUUCCCCUAGUAGGACGUCGUGAUCCGUUGGGCGUCGGUCUACGGCCCGUCAGGUAGACCGCGCGUGCGUUUCGGCGUUUCGCGCGGACCGGCGGUGUUUCCCGGCCGGCUCGCUCGACGGUAUAAAAAAGGCGCGAGGCCGCUACUUCGGUUAGCGUUCGGCCCGCCGCAAGCACGUCCGGCGAUAUUAGUCACGGUGAUCGGACCUAGCGCCGUUCCCGUACCCCGGCGACUGUUAGCGGCGGAGUUCUCGAACAGACCUCUGUUAAACGCCGAUCGACGACGCUAUAGCUUUGGGUAAUUUCAGG